Molecule: ribosomal RNA, 406 nt
Filed under: Speocera tabuk
Lineage: Eukaryota; Metazoa; Arthropoda; Arachnida; Araneae; Ochyroceratidae
Description: partial large subunit ribosomal RNA
Rfam family: Archaeal large subunit ribosomal RNA
Source: RNAcentral
CCUGCUCAAUGAACUUAAAUAGCCGCUUUAUAGUGCUAAGGUAGCAUAAUAAAUUACUCUUUAAUUAAGAGAUAGAAUGAAAGGAAACACGAUUUAUCAAUUGUAUCAAAAUAUCUCAUAAAAUUAUCACAACUAGUCAAAACACUGUUAUCAACCUAGCAGGACGACAAGACCCUAUCGAACUUAUCAUUUUCAUUUCACUGGGACGGUAAAAAACAAAAUCUUUUUAGCUUUUCCAAUCAACGCCCUCAAAUAGAAUAAAAACAAGUUACCGUAGGGAUAACAGCAUAAUAGUUUAGAAAAGCUCUCAUACAACAAACUGUUUAUGACCUCGAUGUUGAAUUAACAAACCUAUUUACAGAAAAGAGUAAAAAUGUAAGUCUGUUCGACCUUUAAAAUGUUACAU